GUGGCAGUGUGGGCAUACAGAAUUACAACUACAAAUUCCGUAGUACCCUAUCUUAACGUGAUUUAUGCGUUUCACAUUUUCGAACCAUAGCCCAGUCAGAUAAAGUAAACCUGUGAGCUUUAGUAUUGUAUGUUUAAUAUUAAUGUGUGGUAACUUAUCAUCGUAGUGUUAUCGAUCAUGCGAUUAAAAAAAUACACUUUAGACUACAUAUCCCAAGGGGUAAAGCCCUCUUUAUCACCGUAUCCAGGAAGUCAUUUGCCGUUGCCAAGCAAACUUGUGCGUGUCUUUGCAAAUGUUCUCUGAAGAAUGUGCACUUCACACGUUUACGAAUGUAGCUAGCUAUCUAAGGUGUCCGUGAGCGAUGAGUUGUUCCCAGGACUCUGUACCUUUGGCGCGGCCGGGCACAGAGAAGGUACUGGUGACUUAGCUGAGUGGGUCUGGUCAUAUGAACCCAACCCCUGCUGCUUACAAGGACUCUGACAUGCUGGUGGAGCUCUACCUCUCUACAGAAAAGCUGGAGGUCUACCCCGGGGGAUGGUAAUAGAGGGGAGCUACGUGAGGCGACGUUGGCUCCCUCUGCUGGGAAUACAGGAGCUGGGCACCCCGACAUGGACAGCUAAGUGGAGGUCAUUUAGAGGAAAGUGCCAACCAGCCGUGGAGGCUAAAUAAAAGGAGCACGAAGGCACACCACGGGAGAGACGGACACCAGAGAAGAG
RNAcentral lists this long non-coding RNA (716 nucleotides) under Salmo salar (Atlantic salmon). RNAcentral's name for it is "lncRNA (ENSSSAG00000084883.1)". Lineage: Eukaryota; Metazoa; Chordata; Actinopteri; Salmoniformes; Salmonidae. The record is from RNAcentral.